This 2902-nucleotide ribosomal RNA is filed under the name Escherichia coli. RNAcentral describes it as "bacterial LSU rRNA". It matches the Rfam family "Bacterial large subunit ribosomal RNA". Lineage: Bacteria; Pseudomonadati; Pseudomonadota; Gammaproteobacteria; Enterobacterales; Enterobacteriaceae. The record is from RNAcentral.
UUAAGCGACUAAGCGUACACGGUGGAUGCCCUGGCAGUCAGAGGCGAUGAAGGACGUGCUAAUCUGCGAUAAGCGUCGGUAAGGUGAUAUGAACCGUUAUAACCGGCGAUUUCCGAAUGGGGAAACCCAGUGUGAUUCGUCACACUAUCAUUAACUGAAUCCAUAGGUUAAUGAGGCGAACCGGGGGAACUGAAACAUCUAAGUACCCCGAGGAAAAGAAAUCAACCGAGAUUCCCCCAGUAGCGGCGAGCGAACGGGGAGCAGCCCAGAGCCUGAAUCAGUGUGUGUGUUAGUGGAAGCGUCUGGAAAGGCGCGCGAUACAGGGUGACAGCCCCGUACACAAAAAUGCACAUACUGUGAGCUCGAUGAGUAGGGCGGGACACGUGGUAUCCUGUCUGAAUAUGGGGGGACCAUCCUCCAAGGCUAAAUACUCCUGACUGACCGAUAGUGAACCAGUACCGUGAGGGAAAGGCGAAAAGAACCCCGGCGAGGGGAGUGAAAAAGAACCUGAAACCGUGUACGUACAAGCAGUGGGAGCACGCUUAGGCGUGUGACUGCGUACCUUUUGUAUAAUGGGUCAGCGACUUAUAUUCUGUAGCAAGGUUAACCGAAUAGGGGAGCCGAAGGGAAACCGAGUCUUAACUGGGCGUUAAGUUGCAGGGUAUAGACCCGAAACCCGGUGAUCUAGCCAUGGGCAGGUUGAAGGUUGGGUAACACUAACUGGAGGACCGAACCGACUAAUGUUGAAAAAUUAGCGGAUGACUUGUGGCUGGGGGUGAAAGGCCAAUCAAACCGGGAGAUAGCUGGUUCUCCCCGAAAGCUAUUUAGGUAGCGCCUCGUGAAUUCAUCUCCGGGGGUAGAGCACUGUUUCGGCAAGGGGGUCAUCCCGACUUACCAACCCGAUGCAAACUGCGAAUACCGGAGAAUGUUAUCACGGGAGACACACGGCGGGUGCUAACGUCCGUCGUGAAGAGGGAAACAACCCAGACCGCCAGCUAAGGUCCCAAAGUCAUGGUUAAGUGGGAAACGAUGUGGGAAGGCCCAGACAGCCAGGAUGUUGGCUUAGAAGCAGCCAUCAUUUAAAGAAAGCGUAAUAGCUCACUGGUCGAGUCGGCCUGCGCGGAAGAUGUAACGGGGCUAAACCAUGCACCGAAGCUGCGGCAGCGACGCUGAUGCGUUGUUGGGUAGGGGAGCGUUCUGUAAGCCUGUGAAGGUGUGCUGUGAGGCAUGCUGGAGGUAUCAGAAGUGCGAAUGCUGACAUAAGUAACGAUAAAGCGGGUGAAAAGCCCGCUCGCCGGAAGACCAAGGGUUCCUGUCCAACGUUAAUCGGGGCAGGGUGAGUCGACCCCUAAGGCGAGGCCGAAAGGCGUAGUCGAUGGGAAACAGGUUAAUAUUCCUGUACUUGGUGUUACUGCGAAGGGGGGACGGAGAAGGCUAUGUUGGCCGGGCGACGGUUGUCCCGGUUUAAGCGUGUAGGCUGGUUUUCCAGGCAAAUCCGGAAAAUCAAGGCUGAGGCGUGAUGACGAGGCACUACGGUGCUGAAGCAACAAAUGCCCUGCUUCCAGGAAAAGCCUCUAAGCAUCAGGUAACAUCAAAUCGUACCCCAAACCGACACAGGUGGUCAGGUAGAGAAUACCAAGGCGCUUGAGAGAACUCGGGUGAAGGAACUAGGCAAAAUGGUGCCGUAACUUCGGGAGAAGGCACGCUGAUAUGUAGGUGAAGUCCCUCGCGGAUGGAGCUGAAAUCAGUCGAAGAUACCAGCUGGCUGCAACUGUUUAUUAAAAACACAGCACUGUGCAAACACGAAAGUGGACGUAUACGGUGUGACGCCUGCCCGGUGCCGGAAGGUUAAUUGAUGGGGUCAGCGCAAGCGAAGCUCUUGAUCGAAGCCCCGGUAAACGGCGGCCGUAACUAUAACGGUCCUAAGGUAGCGAAAUUCCUUGUCGGGUAAGUUCCGACCUGCACGAAUGGCGUAAUGAUGGCCAGGCUGUCUCCACCCGAGACUCAGUGAAAUUGAACUCGCUGUGAAGAUGCAGUGUACCCGCGGCAAGACGGAAAGACCCCGUGAACCUUUACUAUAGCUUGACACUGAACAUUGAGCCUUGAUGUGUAGGAUAGGUGGGAGGCUUUGAAGUGUGGACGCCAGUCUGCAUGGAGCCGACCUUGAAAUACCACCCUUUAAUGUUUGAUGUUCUAACGUUGACCCGUGAUCCGGGUUGCGGACAGUGUCUGGUGGGUAGUUUGACUGGGGCGGUCUCCUCCUAAAGAGUAACGGAGGAGCACGAAGGUUGGCUAAUCCUGGUCGGACAUCAGGAGGUUAGUGCAAUGGCAUAAGCCAGCUUGACUGCGAGCGUGACGGCGCGAGCAGGUGCGAAAGCAGGUCAUAGUGAUCCGGUGGUUCUGAAUGGAAGGGCCAUCGCUCAACGGAUAAAAGGUACUCCGGGGAUAACAGGCUGAUACCGCCCAAGAGUUCAUAUCGACGGCGGUGUUUGGCACCUCGAUGUCGGCUCAUCACAUCCUGGGGCUGAAGUAGGUCCCAAGGGUAUGGCUGUUCGCCAUUUAAAGUGGUACGCGAGCUGGGUUUAGAACGUCGUGAGACAGUUCGGUCCCUAUCUGCCGUGGGCGCUGGAGAACUGAGGGGGGCUGCUCCUAGUACGAGAGGACCGGAGUGGACGCAUCACUGGUGUUCGGGUUGUCAUGCCAAUGGCACUGCCCGGUAGCUAAAUGCGGAAGAGAUAAGUGCUGAAAGCAUCUAAGCACGAAACUUGCCCCGAGAUGAGUUCUCCCUGACUCCUUGAGAGUCCUGAAGGAACGUUGAAGACGACGACGUUGAUAGGCCGGGUGUGUAAGCGCAGCGAUGCGUUGAGCUAACCGGUACUAAUGAACCGUGAGGCUUAACCUU